This 391-nucleotide ribosomal RNA is filed under the name Skeletonema sp. RNAcentral's name for it is "partial small subunit ribosomal RNA". It matches the Rfam family "Eukaryotic small subunit ribosomal RNA", at positions 582 to 975 of the family's 1831-position model. The record is from RNAcentral. Lineage: Eukaryota; Bacillariophyta; Thalassiosirophyceae; Thalassiosirales; Thalassiosiraceae.
AUUCCAGCUCCAAUAGCGUAUAUUAAAGUUGUUGCAGUUAAAAAGCUCGUAGUUGGAUUUCUGGCAGGAGUGACUGACCACAAACUCUGUUUGUGAGUUGUGUCAUUCUGGCCAUCCUUGGUAAGAUCCUUUUUGGCAUUAAGUUGUCGGGAAGGGGAUGACCAUCGUUUACUGUGAAAAAAUUAGAGUGUUUAAAGCAGGCUUAUGCCGUUGAAUAUAUUAGCAUGGAAUAAUAAUCUAGGACUUCGGUCAUAUUUUGUUGGUUUCUGUAACUGAAGUAACGAUUGAUAGGGAUAGUUGGGGGUGCUAGUAUUGAGCGGCCAGAGGUGGAAUUCUUGGAUUCGCUCAAGACUAACUUAUGCGAAAGCAUUCACCAAGGAUGUCUUCAUUA